GUAAUUCAAGAGGAAAAGCACAAAAACAAUACUAAGGAUAAAAUAGGUGGAGAAGCUACUGCCCUAUUUUCUAAGAAAAUUGAAAAUCAAGAAAAUAAAGAAGAACCUAGAAAAAAGGGUAUGUAUAGUAAGAAUGGAAAAAAACUAGAUACGAAAUACUACUGUGACAACUGUAAAUUCUUUGGACACACAAGGGAGCAAUGCUUUCACAUAGUAGGAUUUCCAAGUGACAAGAAAAAGUUCAAAAAGAAAGAUGAUUU
RNAcentral lists this long non-coding RNA (260 nucleotides) under Zostera marina. Its description in RNAcentral is "long non-coding RNA (ZMAR_LNC004407)". The record is from RNAcentral. Lineage: Eukaryota; Viridiplantae; Streptophyta; Magnoliopsida; Alismatales; Zosteraceae.